GAUGAACGCUGGCGGCGUGCCUAAUACAUGCAAGUCGAGCGAACAGACGAGGAGCUUGCUCCUCUGACGUUAGCGGCGGACGGGUGAGUAACACGUGGAUAACCUACCUAUAAGACUGGGAUAACUUCGGGAAACCGGAGCUAAUACCGGAUAAUAUAUUGAACCGCAUGGUUCAAUAGUGAAAGACGGUUUUGCUGUCACUUAUAGAUGGAUCCGCGCCGCAUUAGCUAGUUGGUAAGGUAACGGCUUACCAAGGCAACGAUGCGUAGCCGACCUGAGAGGGUGAUCGGCCACACUGGAACUGAGACACGGUCCAGACUCCUACGGGAGGCAGCAGUAGGGAAUCUUCCGCUAUGGGCGAAAGCCUGACGGAGCAACGCCGCGUGAGUGAUGAAGGUCUUCGGAUCGGAAAACUCUGUUAUUAGGGAAGAACAAAUGUGUAAGUAACUAUGCACGUCUUGACGGUACCUAAUCAGAAAGCCACGGCUAACUACGUG
Molecule: ribosomal RNA, 497 nt
Filed under: uncultured bacterium
Lineage: Bacteria
Description: partial 16S ribosomal RNA
Rfam family: Bacterial small subunit ribosomal RNA
Source: RNAcentral